UAUCACUGACCUAUUACCUCUUGGGACUUGUUGCAUAAUUAUUUAGGUUGAUGACGUUAACGAUUGGUUGAAUUCGCACUGUUUAUCAGUUGACGAUCGGUCAGUGAGUGUCUUAAUCGGUCAAGAGAGCAAAAGGGGACAGCUGAAACUUAAGGAAAAGCAUCCAUUUUACAGCCGUCAUCUCGUUUCUUCGUUUAGAAACAACAGUCUUUUGAAUUUAGACAUGGUGCUGUGACUUAUAUUCAGUGCCGUGUCAUGCAUUGGUGAGCGGCUGUCUGCUUGUUUCGGUUGUUCCAACAAGGGAAAUUCGGCAGGUUGACAUGGCACAUCACGUAAGCCCAAGUGUCAGGAGGUGUAUUGUGUGCCCAGUGGUGCUUCAUGUUCACCCACCUCCCUUCCUAAAGACCCAUCUCAGAUAAACUACAGUAAAGGCUAAAGAUACUCUCCAUCAUCUCUUUGUCGUGUCAUCUCACAUUCAUCUGAGCUGUUUAUAAUGAUGACUUGUCUAUAAACUCCCUCUACAGGAGGUGGACAUGUCUGAUGUUUCAAACAGCCCAGAUGUCAUAUACCUAUAAAUAAUAAUAAAAAAAACACCAAA
Molecule: long non-coding RNA, 598 nt
Organism: Alosa alosa (allis shad)
Lineage: Eukaryota; Metazoa; Chordata; Actinopteri; Clupeiformes; Clupeidae
Exons: 3
Source: RefSeq, a predicted model, not a curated record